GAGGAGGGUCUCUGCCCGGCCACCCAUCGUCUGAGAUGUGAGGAGCCCCUCUGCCCCGCUGCCCAGUCUGGGAAGUGAGGACCGCCUCUUCCCGGCCGCCAUCCCAUCUAGGAAGUGACGCGCGCCUCUGCCCCACCACCCCGUCUGGGAUGUGAGGAGCGCCUCUGCCCGGUCGCGACCCCGUCUGGGAGGUGAGGAGCCCCUCCGCCCGGCAGCCACCCCGUCUGGGAGGUGGGGAGCGUCUCCGCCCAGCAGCCGCCCUGUCCAGGAGGGAGGUGGGGAGUCAGCCCCCGCCCAGCCGGCUACCCCGUCCGGGAGGUGGGGGGCGCCUCUGCCCGGCCGCCCCUUCUGGGAAGUGAGGGGCCCCUCUGCCCGGCCGCCACCCCGUCUGGGAGCUCAUAGUCUGGCAACCAUACUUCCCACUGAUCGCCAGCAAAGGACGGACCCUGCAGCCAGCAUGCAAAGGGUUGCAAAGCAAGGCACGCCUCCGGGUGUGUGGCACGUUCUUUUGAACCCAGUGAACCAUCUUGUUGGAUAAUGGCCUCCAGCUGCAUCCAAGUUGCUGCAAAGGACAUGAUUUCAUUCUUGUUUAUGGCUGCAUAGUAUUCCAUGCUUUAUCUAAUCCACUGUUGAUGGGCACUUGUGUUGAUUCCAUGACCUUGCUAUUGACGUCACCAUUUUUAAAAUAAGACUUUUAUGACUAAGGCUAACUGGCACCACUGCUCAGCUUUUAAAAAUAUAUCCAAUAUUCCUCUUACUCUUCACAAUAUACAUUCAUGUCCACAUGAAUCACUCAUGAAAUCGCUGGUUAUUCCUUACGAAUCGAUUUGGUUUUCUUCCAAAUUGACCCAGGAAUUCUGAAAUUUGGCAGGCCUGCAAAGUGAGGAAGAUGUUACAAUAAUGUACUGUUGGACACUGGAUGCUAAGGUUACUCCAGGUGUCCAACCACGUAUGCAAGAUUUUUUAUCAUUUCAUGUCAAUAGUAUCAAUAAUAUAAAAAUAAGUGGUUGAUUUUAAAAAAAUACACACACAAGUUGUCUAAAGUUUGACAUUUUCCUCUGCCUUCCUGAAAAUAGACACUUUUCAACAUCAUUUAUACCUUAUUUAAGGUAUCGCAUUUGUUGCCCAUGCAGUGUUCGAGAGACCUCAUUCAAAAGAUCUCGUGUUUACCUACCCAUGCUGAGGACCACAAGGUUGAACAGUAACAAUAAAGUCCACUGUGUCCUGUAAUUAAUAUCUCACUUCACUCUGUUUCUUCUCAACUAUGAGUAAAAGAAUUUUAUUCCCCUUCCUUCACAACAAAAAUGUUCUGCAAUUAUAGUUUUCUCUCUUGCUUGUCAAAGAGCUAAACAGGCCAAUCUCACUGGCUUUUUGUAAUUGUCCAAUUUAUUUUAUUUUAUUUUUAAAUUGAGAUAUAAUUAAUAUAUCAUUUAUUAAAAAUCUAUAGUUCAUUUUAAUUUCUAAAGCAAUGUUGUAACUGAAAUAAAUUUAAUAUAUGCUAUUAAGUGUCAUCAUCAUUAGACUGAUACAUUUUAUAGUAUUUUGCUAAGAUUAAGCCUCUUUUGACUACAAUUCCAUUUCCCCACUUAUGCAUCUUCACAGUGGGUUUUUUAAAGCAACAACACAGGCCCACAGUGGUCCACACCUAUAAUCCCAGCACAUUGGGAGGCUGAGACGGGAGGAUCGCUUGAGUUGGAGACCAGCCUGGCAAUAUAGCAAGACUCCUUCUCUAUUAAAAUAAAAAAAAAAAAUUAGCUGGGCAUGGUGGUGGACACCUACAGUCCCAGCCACUCGGGAGGCUGAGGUCAGAGGAUCACCUGAGCCAGGCAGCCACAGCAAGCUAUGAUCACACUGCUGCACUCCAGCGUGGGCAACAGAGCGAAACCUUGUCUUGAAAAAAAAUAAAAUAAAAUAAAAUAAAAUAUUCCCC
This 1930-nucleotide long non-coding RNA is filed under the name Homo sapiens (human). RNAcentral's name for it is "HSALNT0081809". The record is from RNAcentral. Lineage: Eukaryota; Metazoa; Chordata; Mammalia; Primates; Hominidae.